Molecule: long non-coding RNA, 1307 nt
Organism: Lutra lutra (Eurasian river otter)
Lineage: Eukaryota; Metazoa; Chordata; Mammalia; Carnivora; Mustelidae
Exons: 4
Source: RefSeq, a predicted model, not a curated record
CCAAUCAGGUCAGCUGGGGAUUCUUAGGACCUUUCAAACCUUGUCUGGGAAUGUAUCUGCUCUUGACCUGUGGAGUCUCAGCCAAGAAUGUGGAUAAAGAGAAAAUUAUUGUUCCUCACCUACAAUUUGGUGACCCAUGAUGGAGCCUGCUAAGAUACAGGAACCUGGAAAACUGGCAGAAGCUGGCAAAAGAUAAGAAUUAUUACCAAAGUCAGCUCUUCAGGAUCUGUCUGCACAGUGCCCUGAUGAGAACACAAGGGAAGUCUCAGGAAAGAACUCAGUAGGGUAAAGGGAAAAUUAUUUUUCCUUUCCCACACUAUUACAAUCUUGAGCCUGAAAGCUAGAAACUCAGAAUUCCUCUUUCUUUGAGGACCUCAGGCUUUGCUCUUAGGUCUGAUUGGAUGCAGUCUGUUGAAAAGUGGAUGGAUUCCUACUUCAUCCUGUGAUCAGCCCUUCUGGUGGCAUCUCACAAAGCAGCAGGUAGAUCAAUCUAAGAGCUAACCACUCAGCUUCAGUGAAAGGGACAGCAUCAUGGAAGUGAUUAGGGAGGAUUUAGUGACUCCUCCCAUCCUGAAAACUGAAGAACCCAUCCUAUGGAGUCAUAAAAGUUAACUGAUAUUUUUGAUAUUUAGACUAACAAUUACAGAGAUGAUGAGUGGUACUGGGCAUGUCAUUUUAGCAUGUUUUACCUGGCAUGCCUCAAUUUAAUUCCACUUUCAAUAAAGUGAGGGAAUUAACUUAUAUACACAUUAGCUUCUUGUCUAAAUAGUUAAAUGUGUAUCAAAGCCAGUAUAUGUCACAGAGAAUAAUUUAAAAAAUGUGAUAUGUGAUAUAUCUUUUAGGAAAUAUUUAACCUUAUAUACUUAUAUUGUCAAGAAGAUAUGAAAUUCCUCUGAAACUUACUGGUGCAAAGACAAAUUAUCCAGACAUAAAUAUCUAGCAUUACUAUCUGCCCAGAAUCAUCACAGCAAGUCAAUUACAUACUUAGGUCUCAAAAAAAGAGAGGUCCUGGGUUAGAGAACAUUUAUCAAUAGUCUCCAUUUCACCUGAAUACAAUCAGCCAGCUCUUGUAGGUUAUUAGGUGAUCACUCUAAUAUAUUUCUUAAACUAAUCUUAAGAGAGAAAAAGAAUCCAAAUCAAUUCUUAUUAUCAUAAAUUUAAAAAUGGCAUACCAGAUCUUGAAAAAGAGCAGAGCUUUUCUUAAAACUGAGUUGUCUUAGAGCUUCUGUUUCUUAUCUAUAAAGGACUAAUCAUACACACUCCCAAAAUAGGUAUGAGAAGUAGAUACAAUAAUACAUAGAAUUUUU